GUAUGUGAGGGCAAUCUGGCUGCAAUAUCUGUCACUCCAUUGAUCAGGGUGGAUUUGGCUGAUCUGACUGGCAAGGCUAGUGUCCCCUUCCUCUUUUACCAUUCUAUGUGCAUCCUUCCCAAAGGUGUAUGGAUAGAGACAGACUAGUCUUUGGUUGAGGUUAUGUGAGUAGCUGCACUCCCAUUAGAACCUCCAAACAGGUAAAACAGGGAAGAUGGCGGACUGAGAAGCUGCUAGUG
Molecule: small nuclear RNA, 239 nt
Filed under: Erinaceus europaeus (western European hedgehog)
Lineage: Eukaryota; Metazoa; Chordata; Mammalia; Eulipotyphla; Erinaceidae
Description: 7SK RNA
Rfam family: 7SK RNA
About the family: 7SK was discovered as an abundant small nuclear RNA in the mid-70s but a possible function has only recently been suggested. Two independent studies have found that 7SK RNA binds the CDK9/cyclin T complex (known as elongation factor P-TEFb). P-TEFb activates transcription by phosphorylating the C-terminal domain of RNA polymerase II.
Source: Rfam by way of RNAcentral